UGGAUGAUGUGGUUUAAUCGAUGCAACGCGAAAACCUUACCACCUUGACAUGUACGGAAUUUGCCAGAGAUGGCUUAGUGCUCGAAAGAGAGCCGUAACACAGGUGCUGCAUGGCUGUCGUCAGCUCGUGUCGUGAGAUGUUGGGUUAAGUCCCGCAACGAGCGCAACCCUUGUCAUUAGUUGCUACAUUUAGUUGGGCACUCUAAUGAGACUGCCGGUGACAAACCGGAGGAAGGUGGGGAUGACGUCAAGUCCUCAUGGCCCUUAUAGGUGGGGCUACACACGUCAUACAAUGGCUGGUACAAAGGGUUGCCAACCCGCGAGGGGGAGCUAAUCCCAUAAAGCCAGUCGUAGUCCGGAUCGCAGUCUGCAACUCGACUGCGUGAAGUCGGAAUCGCUAGUAAUCGUGGAUCAGAAUGUCACGGUGAAUACGUUCCCGGGUCUU
RNAcentral lists this ribosomal RNA (445 nucleotides) under uncultured Variovorax sp. RNAcentral's name for it is "bacterial SSU rRNA". It matches the Rfam family "Bacterial small subunit ribosomal RNA", at positions 933 to 1382 of the family's 1533-position model. Lineage: Bacteria; Pseudomonadati; Pseudomonadota; Betaproteobacteria; Burkholderiales; Comamonadaceae. The record is from RNAcentral.